This 25556-nucleotide long non-coding RNA is filed under the name Populus trichocarpa (black cottonwood). RNAcentral's name for it is "long non-coding RNA (PTRI_LNC003893)". The record is from RNAcentral. Lineage: Eukaryota; Viridiplantae; Streptophyta; Magnoliopsida; Malpighiales; Salicaceae.
UAAGGAAUCUCGAAAUGCUCAGAGAGUUCGAAAUUGCAGAUUGUCCAAAUUUGGAGAGAAGGUGCAAGAAAGAAAAAGGAAAGGACUGGCCUAAGAUAGCUCACAUCCCUACCAUCAUCAUUAAUAACCAGCUAAUACAGUCCUCGGAGACCUGAAGAAAAUAUGAUUGCUUGGUACGUGUUGGGACUUCAUUUGUCUAAUAUCCUCAUGUAAAAUCGGGAAUAUUUAUUCACCAAGUACUAAUAGCUGUGGUGAUCAAAUAAAAUGUAAAUUGUUAUAAGAUUUUAGGGAUGGUAGCAAGUUUUAGAUGAAUAAGCCGCAGAUGAGGAAUUCUAUUUCUCUUCAGUGUUGUUUUGUGCUUAUUUACAAUCUAUUGCUGAAUAAAAUUAUGAAUCUAAUUUGAAGAUUGGUUUUAGUAAAUAUACUGCUAUAUAUUAUGUAAACAAACCUCUUUUAUAUCAAUUCCUGGCUUUUGUGAUUUUCACUUGAGCUUCUAAUGGUGUAAGCAGGGCAGGUAGGCAAUGUCCACUGAGGAAUCUUCAAAAUCAAGAGAGCCUGAACUUUGCUGCAUAUAACACAAAUAUGUUUGAAUUGAUUGAAGCAUUGCAUCGCAGGGGAUACUCGCACAUGAUGUAUCAAUGUAUAUUUAGGAUCUGCAAUCCAGAAUAUUAAUCUUGAACAUGUUGAAAGUUGUAGCAUGUUGCCACAAGAAAUCACUUUUACAUAGGAAAAUUAGCUAUUGAUGUAAAGCCAAAAAAUCUAAGAAACAUCAACAAGAUAAAUAAGAUGUUAAUGUAUAACUAUUAUCCAGGAUCUCUGAACACUUUUUUUUUAAAAAAAAUUCAUAGGAAAAUUAGCUAGAAUAUGCCUGCUAGCCUACUGUAGAAGUUGAAAGGGAAGAAUCACCUUCCUUGUUUGCUCGCACUACGUCAGCUUGAACUAGAAAUGGUAUUCUGGGGUUGGCACGAGCUGAGCCAGGCAAUUUUUGUCCUAACCAAUAGUUAUAUGAAGAUGACCAGUAUCUCCAAUUUUAUAUGAAGAUGAUGAAAUAUUUAUUAUAAUAUAAAGUAUGAUACAAACAGCCUACAAAUAUUUAUAUGUACUAUAUAUAUAUAUAUAUAUUUUUUUUUUUUUCUUGUAGGCGUUGAAAGCUCACCUACUCUGCUUGCUUGCUUGCUUGGGUUAGUCAGUGUCGUUUAGUUCUAGACUUCUUUCCAUAUAUAUCCUGCAAGUAUGAUUCGGAGCCCUUGCAAGUCUUUAGGCAUCGCUUUUGCUGCCUCUUUGUAGCCUUCUCUGAAUCUUUCUCUCUGUUGUUUCAAUCCUCUCGCCUUCCUCGGAAAACCGGAGAUAGCAUUGGAAACAAAUCGCUAUAAGUCUACCGUUCUGUUGAAUUAGAGGUAGACCUACCAGAGGAAGCAAAGCCUGCAUCAGGUUGAAAGACAGAGAUGGCAACUGAAGAGAUCAAAGAAUUGCCAAAAUCAUGGGCCAUGGUUGGUGGAGAUGGACUUCAAAGCUAUACUCAAAAUUCCUCCUAUCGGGUUCAUAUUCUUCCCCUUUGUAAUAAUAAUAAUAAUAGCAAUACUAAAACACUUUGGCUUGUGAGGCAAAACAGCCUCUCUUUUUUACUUCGGUUUUUUUUUUUUUCAUUAUUUGAUGUUGAGUUGAUUGAAGUUUCAUUUUAAUAAUUUGUUGUUUAUGUAGUCAUUACAAUUUUUAAAAACCAUAUUGACAUCAUGAUAAUAUUCUCCAAAUCAAUGUUUUCAAAGUUGCGUUCAUUGAAAAAUAGGGUUGAUGAUUUGUUUUUUAUGUAGUUAUUUAGAUUUUAAAAGAAAAAUCUUGUAAUUAUUUUGGAGCUCAAUUUCACCAAGAAUAAUCUAUUUUAUUGUUUGUGAAAAAUUAAAAAUAAAAGGAUCGAAAUUAUAUCACAUACAAAUUGAGAGGUCCUUUUUGAAAAAACUCUGUCAGUUUCAUUUCCACAAAUUUUUUCUUUGGGUUUUGACAAAAAUCAUUUUUGAUUCCUUGAGGUAGAAGAAUAAAAGUUCGAUUCAAAACUUUAUUUUUUUUAUAUUUUAGUUCUUAAAUUUUAAACUAGAAAGAAAAAGUCUUUGAAUUAUGAUUAGUAGAGAGAAAAGUUGACAAACAUGCACUUUCCAGUAACAAAAAUUAAUGUUUUUGGCGUUAAAAAGUUCCAUUCAAAAAGAAAAGUUCUAAUUAAACCUAAACGAGCAUAUCAUGAAAUGUAUCAAAUUCAUCUGUAUGAUGGAGGAGAUGCCCUUAAAAUCAUUUUAGUAGGAGAUUUAGUUUUGAUCAAUAUAUUAACUAGUUAAAACAAAACACAUUUUGUUUUUGAAUAAAAAAUAUUCUCCUGAUGGAGGAGAUGCACUUUUAUUUUAUUUAUUUAAGUGAAUAACACAUAAUUUUAUUUUUAUUAGAGUACGCUGGGGGAUAUAAACUUGGCGGCCCCCAUUAGUUUUGCCGUUGGUUAGGUGAUUUGAGAGAUGUAUUUGAAACUGUAGACCAUGGCUCGUUACCUCUUUCGGCUUAAAGGAGAGAGAAGCAUAUGGUGGUUUGAUCUGGAUUCGGAUUAAGCCUGGAUUGAUGGGUUGAUUUGGAGAACUCCCUCAAAGCUUUAUAUUAAUUGGUUUUUCAAAAAAAAAUAGUUGAAUUAAUUAUUCAUUUUCGUUUGGAUAGCUUCACAACUAUACAUAAAAAUUAAAUUAAAAUUAAAAAGGAUAGGGGUUUCGUUUGAGCACCCAGACCCAAUUUAAUGUGGAUUUGCACCUAAAUACAUUUUAAUGUGGAUUUUCAAUUAAUUGUAAAUUAAAAUUAAAAAGGAUAGGGGUUUACUUUUGAGGGUAUUUUGAUAUAUUCACAUUGAUUUUAAAUUAAAUUAAAUUAAAAAGGUUUGAAAAAAAUUAAAUUUAAGUUAAUUUAUCAAAUUCAAGCAUAAUUUUAAAUCAAUUCAAUAUAAUUAAAAGAAAAAUAAUUAAAAAUAAAACCGAAGUCGACUGCCAAACAAGUGUGUCAAAAUCUCAACAAUUGUUCCAAACUUUCUACAUCCGAACAUUUCUUCGAAAUAACUCAAGUCGAACAAUGUUGCUUUAGCACUUAAGACAAGACUAGCAUUUACCAAAAAGAAGAUGAAAUUAAACUAAAAUGAGCACCGAUUUCAUGUGAUACUCUCACUUUCCUUGAGUUUUCUAUGUAUUUCCUCAAAGUGGGGACACCCUUCUCCACCUUUUCAUAUCACAAGUCAGCUUUGCUUAAUGUUUGCGAUUGAUUAUAUAUAUAUAUAUAUUCCACAACAAUGAGUUAGUGUACAAGUCUUUGUCGGUGUUGGUCACCCUUAUAGCCAAUCCACCGAAAAAAUGUUGCAGCUCAUCGUCCUAUGCAAACCGGGAGACAGCAGUGCAGUAGUUUUCUAUGCUUUUCAAGGAUAUGUUUAUCUUAAAAAAAAAUAUUGAUUUUAUCAGUACAGUUUAGAGCCUGUUUCGAGCAAAUGUAAUUGCUGGUAUACAAAGUUUUGAUGAAGAUGUAAAAGGUCCAAUAUUGUUCUAAGAGGAGGUUGGAUAUUUGACCAAAUAAGCCUAAUGAAACCCAUCGACAGAUUCAUUAGAGCCACCAAAGAAUAAAUAAUUCCUUCAGGUCCACAAAAAGACAGUGAAAUGGCUGGCAGAAGCAGCCGCCAUCAAUAAUUCACACCCCGCAGUCUACUUGCCUACGGAUUUUUCACAAACAAGGAUCUCUCCCUCCCUGCCUCCCUAGCUUAGCUCUCUCCCCUGUACUCUCUACACCACCAUCUCUUGCUUUACUUCCAUUUCCUACUUGCUUCUUGUUGCCAAUUAAGACCCACAAUUUAAAUUUCCCGCAAAUAGAAAACAAAAAAAGCUAUGGCUGAGGCAGUUACUUCUGCACUUGUUAGCACCAUCUUGGGGAACUUGAACACACUUGUGCAUGAAGAGCUUGGACUUGUUUUUGGCAUCCAGACCGAGUUUGAGAAACUCAAGCGCACCUUCAUGACGGUUCAAGCUGUCCUCAGGGAUGCCGAGGAGAAGCAGUGGAAAGAUGAGGCCAUCAGGACUUGGCUGAAACACCUCAAAGAUGCUGCCUAUGAUGCUGAUGAUGUGCUGGAUGAGUUCGCUAUUGAAGCUCAGAGGCGCAGACAGCGAGGGGGUCUUAAAAACCGAGUAAGGUCUUCGUUUUCUCUUGAUCAGAAUCCACUUGUUUUUCGAUUGAAAAUGGCUCGUAAGGUAAAGAAAGUAACAGAAAAGCUUGAUGCCAUUGCCGAUGAGAAAAAUAAGUUCAUACUAACAGAGGGAGUUGGAGAGAACGAAGCUGAUAGGUUCGAUUGGCGGAUAACUAGCUCGCUUGUUAACGAAUCAGAAAUCUUUGGAAGAGACAAGGAAAAAGAAGAGCUGAUCAGUUUGUUGCUCGCCAAUUCAGAUGACCUCUCUGUCUGUGCAAUAUGUGGCAUGGGGGGACUGGGGAAGACAACACUUGCUCAAUUAGUCUACAACGAUGCAAGUGUAAAAGGGCAUUUUGAUUUGAGUAUCUGGGUUUGCGUAUCUGUUGAUUUCGACAUAAGGAGGCUAUCAAGAGCCAUCAUAGAGUCCAUUGAAGGCAACCCUUGUGCCAUUCAAGAGCUGGACACUUUGCAACGACGCCUACAAGAAAAGUUGAUUGGAAGGAGGUUUUUGCUUGUGUUGGAUGAUGUUUGGGAUCAUUACCAUGAAAAAUGGAAUGCAUUGAAAGAUGCAUUGAGAGUUGGGGCUAGAGGAUGUGCUGUUAUAAUAACAACUCGUCUAAAGCAGGUUGCUGAUACAAUGGCUACUAUUCCUGUUCACCUAAUGGGAAGAUUGUCGGAAGAUGAUUCCUGGCUUCUGUUUGAGCGACUUGCAUUUGGAAUGAGAAGAAGGGAGGAGUAUGUGCACUUAGAAAGUAUUGGAAAGGCGAUAGUCAAUAAGUGCAGUGGCGUUCCUUUAGCUCUAAAGGCAUUGGGGAGCUUUAUGCGCUUCAAGAGAAAUGAACGAGAGUGGUUAUCUGUCAAAGAAAGUGAGAUUUGGAAUCUACCAGACGAAGGUGGCACAAUUAAAGCUGCCUUGAAGUUAAGUUAUAACAAUUUGCCGCCCCAUUUAAAGCAAUGCUUUGGAUUUUGUUGUAUGUUUCCGAAGGAUUAUGUCAUGGAGAAAGACCAGUUAGUAAAGCUCUGGAUGGCCAACGGAUUUAUUGAUCCUGAAGGGCAAAUGGAUUUGCAUGAGACGGGUUACGAGACUUUUGAUGACUUGGUUGGGAGAUCAUUUUUUCAGGAGGUCAAGGAGGGUGGCUUGGGAAACAUAACUUGCAAAAUGCAUGAUCUUUUCCAUGAUCUCGCAAAAUCAGUUAUGACAGGAGAAUGCUAUUUGAUCGAGAAGAAUAGGAGACCUAGAAUUCCGCAGACGGUUCGUCAUAUAACUUUUCUUGAUAAAAGUCUUUGUUAUUAUUAUGACAAGGCCCUUGUCAAAGGGAAAUCAUUGCGGUCGCUGAUUACCAUUCAGGAAAAUUACUCACCGAAUGAACAGACUAGUGUUGCUCCUUUACUCAAGGUGUCUGCACAAAAGAAACUACGGACGUUGGAUUUAAGCAAUUUCGAGUUUGAAAAAUUGCCAGAGCCGAUUGGUAAUUUGCAACAUCUAAGGUAUCUAGACGUCUCCAACUCUUCGAUCCAAAAACUACCUGAAUCAAUCAGCUCUCUUCAAUACUUGCAGACCCUAAAUUUGAGUUACUGCUCUCUUCUUUAUAUGCUACCAAAAAGGAUGAAGGACAUGAAAAGUCUCAUGUAUCUUGACCUCACAGGUUGUGAUGCGCUUCAAUGUAUGCCUUCAGGGAUGGGACAACUGACUUGUCUGCGAAAGCUUGGCAUGUUCAUUGUGGGUACAGAGGCUGGUCAUCACAUAGGGGAGCUGCAAAGACUGAAUUACAUUGGGGGUGAAUUGAGCAUCAAGGAUCUAGGUAACGUCCAAGGUCUCACAGAUGCACAAAAUGCUAAUUUGAUGAGGAAGACAAAUCUUCAAUCACUGAGUUUGUCUUGGCGAGAAGACGACAGCAGCAAAAUCAGUGAGGCAAACAGUGAAGAUGUUCUUUGUGCUCUUGAACCCCAUUCUAAUAUGAAGAAGUUAGAGAUAAGCGGAUAUCGAGGAUCCAAAUUUCCAGAUUGGAUGAUGGAGUUGCGUCUACCAAACCUAGUGGAGAUCUCACUAGAAUCGUGCAUGAAUUGUGAACAUCUUCCUCCUUUUGGGAAACUGCGGUUUCUUAAGCAUCUUCAAUUGAAGAGAAUGGACACUGUGAAGUGUAUUGGCAGUGAGAUGCAUGGAGAUGGAGAGAAUCCAUUUCCAUCAUUAGAGAGGCUGACUUUGGGUCCAAUGAUGAACUUAGAGGAGUGGGAAACAAAUAGCAUGGGUGGAAGGGAAAUUUUCACUUGCCUUGAUGAAUUACAGAUCAGAAAAUGCCCCAAGCUGGUCGAGUUACCAAUUAUUCCGUCGGUGAAAUAUUUAACGAUUGAGGACUGCGCUGUAACUUUGCUGAGGUCAGUUGUGAAUUUCACUUCUAUUACCUCCCUUCGAAUUGAGGGCUUCGAUGAAUUGGCAGUUCUUCCUGAUGGACUGUUGCAAAACCAUACGUGUCUUCAAUCCUUGACAUUUGGGAGUAUGGGAAGCCUUAGGUCGCUGUCAAAUCAGCUAAAUAACCUAUCUUCUCUAAAGAGUUUGGGUUUUUUGUUUUGUGAUAAACUUGAAAGCUUGCCAGAAGGUGUCCAGAACCUCAAUUCCUUGGAGAUGUUAGGUAUUUGUGCAAUGAUGCCAAAAAUGACUACACUGCCUGGUUUACCUUCGUCUCUUGCUGAGUUGCACAUUGUAGGUUGUCUAGAACUCACCUCUAUAUCCGAGGGGCUGCAACAUCUGACAGCACUCAAGGACUUGUAUCUUGCUGGAUGUGUGAAGUUAAAUUCCUUGCCAGAGAAUAUCCAACAUCUCACAUCCCUUUCAAGAUUGCGUAUCCAUGGAUGCUCUAAUUUGAUGUCUUUGCCAGAAGGCAUAAGGAAUCUCGAAAUGCUCAGAGAGUUCGAAAUUGCAGAUUGUCCAAAUUUGGAGAGACAGUGCAAGAGAGAAAAAGGAAAAGACUGGCCUAAGAUAGCUCACAUCCCUACCAUCAUCAUUAAUGCCCAGCUAAUACAGUCCUCGGAGACCUGAAGAAAAUAUGAUUGCUUGGUACGUGUUGUGACUUCAUUUGUCUAAUAUCCUCAUGUAAAAUCUGGAAUAUUUAUUCACCAAGUACUAAUAGCUGUGGUGAUCAAAUAAAAUGUAAAUUGUUUUAAUAUAUAUAUAUUCUUCUUAAAGGCGUUGAAAGCUCACCUACUCUGCUUGCUUGCCUGGGUUAGUCAGUGUUGUUUAGUUCUUCUUCUUUUCCAUAUAUAUCCUGCAGGCAUGAUUCGGAGCCUUUGCAAAUCUUUAGGCAUCGUUUUUGCUGCCUCUUUUUUGUAGCCUUCUCUGAAUCUUGCUCUCUGUUGUUUCAAUCCUCUCGCCUUUCUCGGAAAACCGGAGAUAGCAUUGGAAACAAAUCGCUAUAAGUCUACCGUUCUGUUGAAUUAGAGGUAGACAUACCAGAGGAAGCAAAGCCUGCAUCAGGUUGAAAGACAGAGAUGGCAACUGAAGAGAUCAAAGAAAAGCCAAAAUCAUGGGCCAUGGUUGGUGGAGAUGGACCUCAAAGCUAUACUCAAAAUUCCUCCUAUCAGGUGCAUAUUCUUCCCCUUGUAAUAAUAAUAAUAAUAAUAAUAGCAAUAAUAAAACACUUUGGCUUGUGACGCAAAAUAGCCUUUUUUUUUUUUUUGUACUUCGGUUUUUUUUUUAGUUUUAUUAUUUGAUGUUGAGUUGAUUUGAGUUUCAUGUUAAUAAUUUGUUUUUAUUUGUAUUUUAUAUGGUCAUUACAAUUUUUAAAAACUAUAUUGACAUCAUGAUAAUAUUCCAUUUCAUGAAAAAGGUAUAAUUUGGUUGUUUGUAAAUAAUUGAAUGCCGUUUAAAAAAAAAAUCAAUAUCAAGUAUCAACUCUAGUCUUUCUUUUUAGUUUUUAAUCAUCAAUUUUUUUUCUUUUCAAUUGGAUCCUUCAAAAUUGUGUUGAUUGGAAAAUAAGAUUAAUGGUUUGUUUUAGUUUAAAAAGUUCCUCGCAACUUUAAUUUUUUUUUUCUGCUCAUUUUUUUUUGGUGUAGCUCGCGCCAAAGCGUAAACAACCUAUCGAAUGCAUAUAAUGCAUCUGCUUAUUGCAACAGAAAGGAGUGGUAGAUGCUUCAAAGGAAAAGGUGACUGAAGGCAUCAAAGACAAGCUUGAUUUUAAAAGCCUUGGUUUUGACUCCUCGAAUGACACAUUUCGAAUAGCAGAUUUUGGUUGUUCUGUUGGACCCAAUACAUUUUUUGCUGUGGAAAACAUCAUAGAAGCUGUGGAGCAGAAAUAGCAAGCCCAGUUCCAAAAAUCCCCACCCUUGGAGUUGGAGUUCCAAGUAUUCUUCAACGAUGUCACAACCAAUGAUUUCAACACUCUCUUCAAAACCCUCCAUUCCAAUAGAAAAUACUUUGCUGCUGGAUUGCCCGGUACUUUCUACGGCCGCCUCCUCCCCAAGUCCACAUUGCAUUUCGCGUACUCUUCAUAUUGCUUACAGUGGCUCUCUAAGGUCCCAAAAGAAGUUGUAGACAACAAGUCUCCUGCAUGGAACAAUGGCAGCAUCCAAUGUGAUGGUCUCAAAAAAGAAGUCACCAAGGCAUAUUCAGCUCAGUUCCAGAGUGACAUGAACACCUUUUUGAAUGCUAGAGCACAAGAAAUUGUGGGUGGAGGAUUGAUGGUGAUUAUAAUGGCCGGUCUUCCUGAUGGGAUCUUUAUGUCUCAGGCAGGAGUUGGAAUGUACUAUGAACUUCUCGGAUCAUGCCUCGUCGACAUGGCUAAAUUGGUAAAAUAAUUCUCUCUCUAACUGAUUAGAAGCAAAAUCCUAGUAAGUAUACUCUUUGACAUAUGCAGAUCGUUCUUCUUUGUAGGGAGAGAUUAGUGAAGAAAAGGUGAACUCGUUCAACUUGCCUCUGUACUAUUCUUCUUCUACGGAGAUUGAAGAAAUCAUAAAAGUAAACGAGAAUUUUAGUAUUGAGAUAAUGCACUCAUUGAGUCAUCAGAUUUGGCAAACGUCGAAGAAAUCCAAUAUCGAAGUUUCUGUUUCAGGGGGCAGAGCUGUUUUUCAGGGUCUUCUGGAAGAGCACUUUGCAAGUGAAGUUGUAGAAAAAAUAUUUGAGCAUUUUGCUAAGAAGCUUUGUGACAAUUUCUCUAUCUUCGAUGGCGCAGCCCAUGAACACAUCGACCAUUUCAUCCUGCUCAAGCGUAACGUUAAUUGAAAUCACUCACAGUUAUGUGCUCGCUAUUCCCUUAGUUUGGAAUUUGGAUUCCAUUGUUAUCAAAUAAUGAAGUGUGCAUCUCAUGCUGGAGAUGUUGAACUUCAGAUCAAAUAAUUUGGAUUCCAUUUCUAUGCUAUUUCGAUCUCAUUUAUUUGCUUCAAUUCCUUCUUUCAGAAGGUUAGAACUAAUAUCACGGCUUCACUUUUUGGAAAAGCUUAUGCACUAAACUUUCUCUCAAGGUUCAUGUUCAUUAUAUCAAAUUUGAAACUAUAGAACUGCGAAGACAACGAUAAAAUAUGUGUGUCUGGAUGGAGUGAUAAAUAUUAUAAAUUAAUGAAUUUGAAAGCCAAAACCACUCAUUAGGAAAGAAGACUAAAACUAAUUUAAGAACUUUCAAAUUAUAAAGGCAAAAUGUUUUAGUAUGCUUUCAGGGAGUCUCGAACAAGGAAACUAUAAGAUGCAGCAUGUGUAGAAAAAAAUCUGAUGCUUUUAUAUAUAUAUAUUAAGAUCACAAAUUAUAAUGGUGUUUAGAUAUUUUUAAUUAAUUCGUUUUUUUUAUGAUAUUAGAUAUUUUUAUUAAUAUGAUUAGCUAAAAGUUGUUCUUAUUAUAAACUAAAAGAAUGUCAGAAGAUAUUCUUGUCUCUAGAAUACAAUAAAGGUUCAUUUAUAUAUUUAAUUAAUUUAGUUCAUGCGUUUGUAUUAUACAGUUACUAGUUGUAGGGUGCGUUCCGUUGUGGGCGGCACCUCUAAUUGUUUUUUGCACUAAAAAAAAUUCAAGUCAUGAGAAUUUUUUUUAGUGGUCAUUGGGUUAGUAUCGAAAUCUCCUAACCUGUUUUCUUGUUUAUAUUCAAUUAAAUAAAAUGAAAGUAAAAUUUUUAUUCUUAUAUUUAAUUUAAUUAAAAAAUAAAGUAUCUAUAUAAAAAAAUAAAUUUAAUAAAAAACAACAAAUUAAAAAAAUUCACAAUAACCCAUAUUAUUUUCAAAAUCAGCAAAAAAUCUUAUAGGAAACAAAUGAAAAAAAUUAAUCGAGCCCAAUUUUCAAUAAAUAAAUUUGAAAGAUGAAACUGAAAAAAACAUGAGUUAAAAAAAAUCAUGGAGUAAGUAUCUCAUAUUUAUAUUAAUUAAUUAAUUUAAAUUAAUUAUAAAAUAUAUCUUUUAAAAAAGUUAAAUUUAAUAAAGAAUGGUAAAUAAAAAGAUCUAAGAUAACAUGAGUUAUUUUUAAAAUUAGUAAAAAAUCCUAUAAGAAGUAAGUAAAAAUAUUAAUGGAGUUCAAUCUAUAAUUAAAUAAAUAAUUUAAAACUAAAUUAUCACUAGAAUAGGACCACUAAAAGAAAAAAAAAUUAUUCAACUAAAUUAUUCUAAUUGAAUAAAUAAUCUAAGAAUGGGCCAUAGAAGCCUCAUUGUUCUAAGAGGUUGGAUACUUGACCAAAUAGGCCCACUAAAACCCAUUAACAGAUUCAUUAGAGCCACCAAAGAAUAAAUAACUCCUUAAGGUCCACAAAAAGACAGUGAAAUGGCUGGCAGCAGCAGCCAUCAUCAAUAAUUCACAUACGUAGUCUACUUGCCUACGGGUUUUUUCACAAACAAGGAUCUCUCCCUCCCUCCCUGGCUUAGCUCUCUCCCCUGUCCUCUCUUCACCACCAUUUCUUGCUGUACUUCCAUUUCCUACUUGCUUCUUUUUGCUUAUUAAGACCCACAAUUUAAAUUUCCGGCAAAAAGAAAACAAAAAAAAGCUAUGGCUGAGGCAACUAUUUCUGCACUUGUUAGCACCGUCUUGGGGAACUUGAACACACUUGUACUUGAAGAGCUUGGACUUGUUUUUGGCAUCCAGACCGAGUUUGAGAAACUCAAGCGCACCUUCAUGACGGUUCAAGCUGUCCUCAAGGAUGCUGAGGAGAAGCAGUGGAAAGAUGAGGCAAUCAGGAUUUGGCUGACAGACCUCAAAGAUGCUGCCUAUGAUGCUGAUGAUGUGCUGGAUGAGUUCGCUAUUGAAGCUCAGAGGCGCAGACAGCGAGGGGGUCUUAAAAACCGAGUAAGGUCUUUGUUUUCUCUUCAUCAGAAUCCACUUGUUUUUCGAUUGAAAAUGGCUCAUAAGGUAAAGAAUGUAAGAGAAAAGCUUGAUUCCAUUGCCAAUGAGAAAAAUAAGUUCAGACUAACAGAGGGAGUUGGAGAGAACGAAGCUGAUAGCUUCGAUUGGCGGAUAACUUGCUCGCUUGUUAACGAAUCAGAAAUCUAUGGAAGAGACAAGGAAAAAGAAGAGCUGAUCAGUUUGUUGCUCGCCAAUUCAGAUGACCUCUCUGUCUGUGCAGUAUGUGGCAUGGGGGGGCUGGGGAAGACAGCACUUGCUCAAUUUGUCUACAACGAUGCAAGUGUAAAAGGGCAUUUUGAUUUGAGUAUCUGGGUUUGCGUAUCUGUUGAUUUCGACAUAAGGAGACUAUCAAGAGCUAUCAUAGAGUCCAUUGAAGGCAACCCUUGUACCAUUCAAGAGAUGGACACUUUGCAACGACGCCUCCAAGAAAAGUUGAUUGGAAGGAGGUUUUUGCUUGUGUUGGAUGAUGUUUGGGAUCAUUACCAUGAAAAAUGGAAUGCAUUGAAAGAUGCUUUGAGAGUUGGAGCUAGAGGAUGUGCUAUUCUAAUAACAACUCGUCUAAAGCAGGUUGCUGAUAAAAUGGCUACUAUUCCUGUUCACCUAAUGGGAAGAUUGUCGGAAGAUGAUUCUUGGCUUCUGUUUGAGCGACUUGCAUUUGGGAUGAGAAGAAGGGAGGAUUAUGUGCACUUAGAAAGUAUUGGAAAGGCGAUAGUCAAUAAGUGCAGUGGCGUUCCUUUAGCUCUAAAGGCAUUGGGGAGCUUGAUGCGCUUCAAGAGAAAUGAACGAGAGUGGUUAUCUGUCAAAGAAAGUGAGAUUUGGAAUCUACCAGACGAAGGUGGCACAAUUUUACCUGCCUUGAAGUUAAGUUAUAACAAUUUGCCACCACAUUUGAAACAAUGCUUUGGAUUUUGCUGUAUGUUUCCGAAGGAUUAUGUCAUGAAGAAAGACGAGUUAGUAAAGCUAUGGAUGGCCAAUGGAUUUAUUGAUCCUGCAGGGCAAAUGGAUUUGCAUGAGACAGGUUACGAGAUUUUUGAUGACUUGGUUGGGAGAUCAUUUUUUCAGGAGUUCAAGGAGGAUGGCUUCGGAAACAUAACUUGCAAAAUGCAUGAUCUUAUCCAUGAUCUUGCAAAAUCAGUUAUGAUAGAAGAAUGCUAUUUGAUCGAGAAGAAUAGGAGACCUAGAAUUCCUAAGACAGUUCGUCACAUGACUUUUCUUGGUAGAAGUCUUUGUUAUUAUGACAAGGACCUUGUCAAAGUGCAAUCAUUGCGGUCUCUGAUAUCCAUUCAGGUCGAUUAUUACCGGCGUGGUGCUCUUUUAUUCAAGGUGUCUUCACAAAAGAAACUACGGACGUUGAGUUUAAGCAAUUUCUGGUUUGUGAAAUUUCCGGAGCCGAUUGGUAAUUUGCAACAUCUAAGAUAUCUAGACGUCUCUUGUUCUCUUAUCCAAAAACUGCCUGAAUCAAUCAGCUCUCUUCAAAACUUGCAGACCCUAAAUUUGAGUUACUGCCCUCUGCUUUAUAUGCUUCCAAAAAGGAUGAAGGACAUGAAAAGUCUCAUGUAUCUUGACCUCACACGUUGUGAUGCGCUUCAAUGUAUGCCUUCAGGGAUGGGACAACUGGCUUGUCUGCGAAAGCUAGGUAUGUUCAUUGUGGGUAAAGAGGCUGGUCAUCACAUAGGGGAGCUGCAAAGACUGAAUUACAUUGGGGGUGAUUUGAGCAUCAAGGAUUUAGGUAACGUCCAAGGUUUUACAGAUGCACAAAAUGCUAAUUUGAUGAGGAAGACAAAUCUUCAAUCACUGAGUUUGUCUUGGCGAGAAGACAAAAACAGCAUAAUCAGUGAGGCAAACAGUGAAGAUGUUCUUUGUGCUCUUGAACCCCAUUCUCAUAUGAAGAAGUUAGAGAUAAGCGGAUAUCGAGGAUCCAAAUUUCCAGAUUGGAUGAUGGAGUUGCGUCUACCAAACCUAGUGGAGAUCUCACUAGAAUCGUGCAUGAAUUGUGAACAUCUUCCUCCUUUUGGGAAACUGCGGUUUCUUAAGCAUCUUCAAUUGAAGAGAAUGGACACUGUGAAGUGUAUUGGCAGUGAGAUGUAUGGAGAGGGAGAGAAUCCAUUUCCAUCAUUAGAGAGGUUGACUUUGGGUCCAAUGAUGAACUUAGAGGAGUGGGAAACAAAUACCAUGGGUGGAAGGGAAAUUUUCACUUGCCUUGAUGAAUUACAGAUCAGAAAAUGCCCCAAGCUGGUCGAGUUACCAAUUAUUCCGUCGGUGAAACAUUUAACUAUUGAGGACUGCACUGUAACUUUGCUGAGGUCAGUUGUGAAUUUCACUUCUAUUACCUACCUUCGAAUUGAGGGCUUCGAUGAAUUGGCAGUUCUUCCUGAUGGACUGUUGCAAAACCAUACAUGCCUUCAAAAGCUGUCAAUUACGAAGAUGAGAAGCCUAAGGUCGCUGUCAAAUCAGCUAAAUAACCUAUCUUCUCUUAAGCAUUUGGUUAUUAUGAAUUGUGAUAAACUUGAAAGCUUCCCAGAAGGUGUCCAGAACCUCAAUUCUUUGGAGCUGUUAAGUAUACAUGGAAUGCCAAAAAUCACUGCACUGUCUGUUUUACCUUCAUCUCUUGCUACCUUGCGGAUUCUAAAUUGUGAAGAACUUACGUCUCUAUCUGAGGGACUGCAAUACCUGACAGCACUCAAGGAUUUGGAACUUUCUAGAUGUGUAAAGUUAGAUUCCUUGCCACAGAGAAUACGACAUCUCACUUCUCUCCAGUCUCUAACAAUCUCUUGUUGUACGGAAGUAUCUUGUCUUCCGAAUCAGAUACGGCAUCUCACAUCCCUUUCAAGACUGCAUAUCCAUGGAUGCUCUAAUUUGAUGUCUUUGCCAGAAGGGAUAAGGUAUCUCGAAAUGCUCAGAGAGUUGGAAAUUGCAAGAUGUCCAAAUGUGGAGAGACGGUGCAAGAAAGAAAAAGGAAAGGACUGGCCUAAGAUAGCUCACAUCCCUACCAUCAUCAUUAAUAACCAAGUAGUACAGUCCUCGGAGACCUGAAGGAUAUAUGAUUGCUCGGUACUUGUUGGGAUUUCAUUUGGCUAAUAUUAUUGUGUAUAAUCUUUUUUCACCAAGUAAUAAUGGUUGUGGUGAUCAAAUAAAAUGUAAAAUUGUCAUAAGAUUUUAGGGAUGGUAACCAGUUUUAGAUGAAUAAGCGGUAUCUGAGGAAUUCUAUUUUUCUUCAGUGUUGUUUUGUGCUUAUUUACAGUCUAUUAUUGCUCAAUAAAAUUAUGAAUCUGAUUUGAAAAUUGAUUCUAGUAGAUAUACUGAUAUAAUAUAAACAAACUUAUUUUGUAUCAAUCCCUGGUUUUUGUGAUUUUCACUUGAGCUUCUAAUGGUGCAAGCAGGGCAGGCAGGUAAUGUCCACUGAGGAAUCUUCAAAAUCAAGAGAGCCUGAACUUUGCUGCAUAUAACACAAAUAUGUUUGAAUUGAUUGAAGCAUUGCAUCGCAGGGGAAACUAGCAGAUGAUGUAUUAAAAUGUAUAUUUAGGAUCUGCAAUGCAGAAUAUGAAUCUUGAACGUAUUGAAAGUUGUAGCAUGUUGCCACAAGAAAUCAGUUUUACAUAGGCACGAAUGAUCCUUGGUGUGAAUUUUUGUUGCUUAUACUUCACAAUGAAGUUCAUCUUGGGGUUUGAUAAGGCUCUUUUUUUUUCUUUUUUCUUUUUAUAGUGGCCUCAAGCCCAGCAGACAGCAGUAUAAUUAUUGAACAAAAGGGAUGCUUAAAAAGAUAAUCUUGGUCUAGAGCUGAUAUUUGGUAUUAUGAGCCACUAUUUCAGAAACCAAGUAUUAUUUUGAGUUGAGAUUUUAUUGCCAUUGGUAAAAAGCAAGUAGUUUGCCAAGUUCCUUUUUGCCAUCUACUAGAAUGAUUCAUAUGUUUUGUCCUUCAAAGAUUUCAUGUGUUCCACUUGUUAAUUGUGAAAUAAUGGUAACCUAGAGUGGACUAAUUUCGACCAAAUUAUGGUAAUUUAUACUUACUUUCUCGGUAACUUGAUGUAUAAUUUCAUAUAAUUCUGUUUCUUCAUUUAAGUCUACCAAUUGUGAAUUUCUUUUAGAGCAGAAUUUCUCUUCCUGUUCCAACCCAUGCAGACUAGGAAUCCUGAAGAUUCCUCGAGAACAGUAUAGUAAAGGAGUUUCAUCAGAGUAAUGCAGUUGAUGGAAUGUACUUUGAUGGAGUUGAGAUGAUGAGUUUGAAUUCAUAAAACAUGUAUUGUCGAUGAUCUUAGGCUUCUCUGUAAUGGUAAUAACCACUGUGUUUAUGGCUGCUUGUAGGCAGAGCAGUAAGGCUAUCAUGGGUGAAUAUUAUGGCUUGUAGUCUUCUUCCCAUUGUAAAUCUGCCCAUCUACUUGGGGAAGUACAGUAUCUGACCAUACCUGCUGGUAUAUAUUUGAUUAUGGUGAUGAUGAUUAUUAUGGUUAUUAAAAUUGAAUUUUUUUAAUGAUUUCAUAAUCAUUUACAUGCUUGUUAAGGAAAUUAUGGGAUUUAAUAAAAAAUAAAAUUCAUAGGAAAAUUAUCUAGAAUAUGUCUGCUAGCGUGUUUGGAAGUGUGGUUACGGUUGCUUUUCAAAGUGUUUUUCACUCGAAAAAUAUCAAAAUAAUAUUUUUUAUUUUUUAAAAAUCAUUUUUAACAUCAACGCAUCAAAAUAAUCCAAAAAUACCAAAAAAUAUUAAUUUGAAGCAAAUAAAAAAAUUUUAAAUUUUUUCAAAAGCGUUUUUGAAACAUAAAAACAAACUGGAACGUCAGCUUGAACUAGAAAAGUUUUCCAGGGACAGCACGAACUGAGCCAGGCAAUUUUUGUCCUAGCCAAUAGUUAUACGAAGAUGACCAGUAUCUCCAAUUUUAUAUGAAGAUGAUGGAAUAUUUAUUAUAAUAUAAAGUAUGAUACAAACAGCCUACAAAUAUUUAUAUGUACUAUAUAUAUAUAUUCUUUUUUUUUUCUUAAAGGCGUUGAAAGCUCACCAACUCUGCAUGCUUGAUUGGGUUUGUCAGUGUUGUUUAGUUCUAGUCUUCUUUUCCAUAUAUAUCCUGCAGCCAUGAUUCGGAGCCUUUGCAAGUCUUUAGGCAUCGUUUUUGCUGCCUCUUUGUGGCCUUUUCUGAAUGUUGCUCUCUGUUGUUUCAAUCCUCUCGCCCUUCUCGGAAAACCGGAGAUAGCAUUGGAAACAAAUCGCUAUAAGUCUACCGUUCUGUUGAAUUAGAGGUAGACCUACCAGAGGAAGCAAAGCCUGCGUCAGUUUGAAAGACAGAGAUGGCAACUGAAGAGAUCAAAGAAUUGCCAAAAUCAUGGGCCAUGGUUGGUGGAGAUGGACCUCAAAGCUAUACUCAAAAUUCCUCCUAUCAGGUGCAUCUUCUUCCCCUUAUAAUAAUAAUAGUAGCAAUACUAAAACACUUUCACAAAACAGCCUCUCUUUUUUUACUUUGGUUUUUUUUUCAGUUUUAUUAUUUGAUGUUGAGUUGAUUGAAAUUUCAUGUUAAUAAUUUGUUUUUAUUUGUCUUUUAUGUGUUCAUUACAAUUUUUAAAAACCAUAUUGACAUCAUGAUAAUAUUCAAUUUCAUGAAAAAGUUAUAAUUUGGUUGUUCGUAAAGAAUUGGAUGCCAUUUUUAUUUUUUUUUUAAAAAAAACCAAUAUCAAGUAUCAAUUCUAGUCAUUUUUCUUUUUAGCUUUUGAUCAUCAAUUUUUUUUCUUUUCAAUUGGAUCCUCAAAAUUGUGUUGAUUGGAAAAUAAGAUUAAUGGUUUGUUUUAGUUUGUUUUUUAUGUAGUUAUCUGGAUCUGAAAAAAAAAGUGUUGUCAUUGUCUUGGCGCUCAAUUUCACAAAGAAUAAUCUAUUUUAUUGUUUGCAAAAUAUUAAAAAUAAAAGGAUUGAAAUAAUAUCACAUAAAAAUUAAGAGGUUUUUUUUUGAAAAAACUAUGAGUCAGUUUCAUUUCCACAAAUUUCUUCUUUAGGUUUUGGCAAAAAUCAUUUUUGUUCCCUUGAGUUUAGAGAAUAAAGGGUUUGAUCCAGAACUUUAUUUUUCUUAUAUUUUAGUAUUUGAAUUUUAGAUUGAAGAGAAAGAGUCUUCAAAUUAUGAUCAAUAGAGAGAGAAAUUGACAAACAUGCACUUUUCAAUAACAAAACUUGAUGUUUUUGGUGUCAACAAAUUCCAUUUUAAUUAGAUCUUUUUUUUCUUGAACUUUGUUAAAAUGAUUUUAUCUUAAAUUUUUUAUUUAAAGCCAUAUUAUAUCUAUGUUGAUUGUUUAUAUUGUCUUUAAACCUACUAAGUUAAUUAUAUCAAUAUUAAAAAAACUUUUAAAUGGUUUGAUUUGAAAUUUAAGUUAGAUAAGAAUUCAACUAAAAAAAUGUUAAGAUUGACGAACUCCUUUCAAAAAUUUCCUCGCAACUUUAAUUUUUUUUCUGCUUAUUUUUUUUAUUUUAGUGUAGCUCGCGCCAAAGCGUUAAGAACGUAUCUAGUCUACUCUAAACUAAUUCUUUGCACGCCUAUAAUGCAUCUGCUUAUUGCAACAGAAAGGAGUGGUGGAUGCUUCAAAGGAAAAGGUGACUGAAGGCAUCAAAGACAAGCUUGAUUUUAAAAGCCUUGGUUUUGACUCAUCGAAUGACACAUUUCGAAUAGCAGAUUUUGGUUGUUCUGUUGGACCCAAUACAUUUUUUGCUGUGGAAAACAUCAUAGAAGCUGUGGAGCAGAAAUACCAAGCCCAGUUCCAAAAAUCCCCACCCUUGGAGUUGGAGUUCCAAGUAUUCUUCAACGAUGUCACAACCAAUGAUUUCAACACUCUCUUCAAAACCCUCCAUUCCAAUAGAAAAUACUUUGCUGCUGGACUGCCCGGUACUUUCUACGGCCGCCUCCUCCCCAAGUCCACACUGCAUUUGGCGUACUCUUCAUAUUGCUUACAGUGGCUCUCUAAGGUCCCAAAUGAAGUUGUAGACAGCAAGUCUCCUGCAUGGAACAAGGGCAGCAUCCAAUGUGAUGGUCUCAAAAAAGAAGUCACCAAGGCAUAUUCAGCUCAGUUCCAGAGUGACAUGAACACCUUUUUGAAUGCUAGAGCACAAGAAAUUGUGGGUGGAGGAUUGAUGGUGAUUAUAAUGGCCGGUCUUCCUAAUGGGAUCUUUAUGUCUCAGGCAGGAGUUGGAAUGUACUAUGACCUUCUCGGAUCAUGCCUCGUCGACAUGGCUAAAUUGGUAAAAUAAUUCUCUCUCUAACUGAUUAGAAGCAAAAUCCUAGUAAGUAUACUAUUUGACAUAUGCAGAUCGUUCUUCUUUGCAGGGAGAGAUUAGUGAAGAAAAGUUGGACUCGUUCAACUUGCCUCUGUACUAUUCUUCUUCUACGGAGAUUGAAGAAAUCAUAAAAGUAAACGGGAAUUUCAGUAUUGAGAUAAUGGACUCAUUGAGUCAUCAGAUUUGGCAAACGUCGAAGAAAUCCAAUAUCGAUAUUUCUGUUUCAGGGGGCAGAGCUGUUUUUCAGGGUCUCGUGGAAGAGCACUUUGGGAGUGAAGUUGUAGAAAAAACAUUUGAGCAUUUUGCUAAGAAGCUUGUUGACAAUUUCUCUAUCUUCGAUGGCGCAGCCCAUGAACACAUCGACCAUUUCAUCCUCCUCAAGCGUCACUUUAAUUGAUAUCGCUCACAGUUAUGUGCUCGCUAUUCCCUUAGUUUGGAAUUUGGAUUCCAUUGUUAUCAACUAAUGAAGUGUGCAUCUCAUGCUGGAGAUGUUGAACUUCAGAUCAAAUAAUUUGGAUUCCAUUUCUAUGCUAUUUCGAUCUCAUUUCUAUGCUUCAAUUCCUUCUUUCAGAAUAUUAGAACUAAUAGUUUAACUUUUUGGAAAAGCUUAUGCACUAAACUUUCUCUCAAGGUUCAUGUUCAUACUAUCAAAUUUGAAACUAUAGAACUUCGAAGAUAAAAUAUGUUUGUCUGGAUGGAGUGAUAAAUAUUUAAACGAGAACACAAAUUAAUGAAUUUGAAAGCCAAAUCACUCAUUAGGAAAGAAGACUAAAACUCAUUCAAGAACUUCAAAUUAUAAAGGCAAAAUGUUUUAGUAUGCUUUCAGGGAGUCUCGAACAUGGAAACUAUAAGAUGCAGCACGUAUAGAAAAAAUCUAAUGUUUUUAUUAAUAUGGUAUUUAGAUAUUUUUCAUUAAUUCAUUUUUUUAUGAUAUUAGAUUUUAUUUUUAUUAAUAUGAUUAGCUAAAAGUUGUUUUUAUUAUAAACUAAAAGAAUGUCAGAAGAUAUUCUUGUCUCUAGAAUCCAAUAAUGGUUCAUUUAUAUAUUUAAUUAAGUUCAUGCAUUAGUCACGUAAUUACAUUGUAUUUGAUCUGGUGUUUUUAUUAUUAUAGUUUAUGUUAUUUGUUCUAGCGCUUGUAUUAUAUAGAUAUUAGUUGUAGGGUGCGGUCCUUUGUGGGUUGCACCUAUAAAAAAUUUAAAUAUUCAUAUUAUAUACAUUAUUUAUUGAAAUGUAACUACACAUAGAAAAAAAUAAUUUAUCUAAGUUGAUUUACACUUAGUAUUUAGGAUUAAAUUGAAUCCUUGAAUGCGCAAACCUUUAGCUCACACAGAAAGUCAACAUGAUGAAAUUAAAAUUUAGAAAGCAGUGUUAAAUAAACGUGAUUAGUCUGAAUUAAUUAAUUAAGCAAAAGAAAACAGCAUUGACUUUCAAUCAUUUGUUGGAUCGGUCAACAUGGAAUUUCAAUCAUGAGGCACUCUUUGCAGUGGUGCCUCAUUCCCAUUACAGGUCUUCCCUUCAUCCUGUGAGUUUUAUUGUCAGCCUUAGAGUUAUUUCAUUACAAAAAAAGGGUAAGAAAAUAAAGUAAUUUUAUUACAUUUGUGUGUUUCUUUAAUAUCAUUAAGAAAAAAUUAAAUUCAGAAAGUAAACUCAUUGGGUAUUAUAUCUCCGUUGGAAAAUCCUAUAAAAAUGUUGCAGCUUACCAUCAUAUAUAUGCAAAUCGGGAGACAGGAGUGCAGUGGUUUUCUAUGCUUUUGUUUAUUUUAAAAAGAUAUUAAAUUAAUAUAUUUUAAAAUAUUACUUGAUUAUUUUGAUAUAUUAAUAUCAAAAAUAAAAACAUAUUUUUUCAAAAUAUCAUAGCAAACACGGAAUUAAAGUUCUUUGCUACUUUUCAAUUAGACUUUCAUUAUUUGUAACUCUUAGACACCAUUAAUUAUUGUUUAUGUAUUUCAAUUAAUUUAUUGUUAGUGAGUUCCAUUAACACACUAUUGUCCUUUGUGAUGGAUUACUGUAGCAGCCUGCUUGCUUAUCUGUGCGGCUAACUGCGUUUUAAAUUGCAGUUGGCCACGUAAAAAGCAUAAAAAGUUAUGCUUUUUGUGGCAAACUCCAGUUUCAAACACAAAGUAUACAAGUUGUUUUUUAAGUAAUUUUUUAGUUUUUUAACAUUAUUAGCAAAAUUAACAUAUUAAAUUAAAUAAUAGAAAAAUAGAAAAAAUAAUUUUUAAAUAAAAAAUAAUUUUUAAAAAAAUAUUUAAAAAAAAUAAAAACAAACUAACUUGUUAAAUCCAAAGAUCCCUUAUUAUUUUUUACAAUUAAUCCAUGUUUAUGUUUUUGGACCGCAAGAGCACUAGAUAUGCUUGUAUCAUCUGUUGAAAUUUAUUGUAUACACAUGAAUUCUAUUCAUAAUCAAAGUAAUUAAGCUUGUCUCAUAACCUAGUUAUGUUUUAAUGGAUUAGCUUGGGUUGAUUUAAGUUAAUUAAAAUGAUAUUAUUUUAUUAUUUUAUUUGAAAAUAUAUUAAAAUAAUAUUUUCUUUUAAUAUUAACAUAUUAAAACGAUUUAAAAAUAUAAAAAAAUAAUUUUUUUAAAAAAAUACCAUUUUUGCCACUAAAACAAACAUUUGGCUGAUCCAAAAGCAUUUGAUUCGGGCUAUUUAUAUAAGAUAUAAGAAUGAAAAAGAUUUGGUGUGUUGAGUUAUCUACAAAUCAAUAAUAAAUUGUCUUAAAUUAGAUAUAUAAACCAAAACGUAAUUGCCCACGGAGUUUGUCUCUAUGUUUUCCAAAUUUUAAUUAUCUUCAAUCUAAAAAUAAAAAUAAAAAAAUCAUUUCACUUUAUAAAGGUUUAGCCCUUGAAGCCCAUGAUGUUUUUUGUGGAGCAAUUUGUUUCUACAGGGAAUAAUGGGCCUUAGAAGCCUCAUUGUUCUAAGAGGUUGGAUACUUGACCAAAUAAGCCCACUGAAACCCAUUAACAGAUUCAUUAGAGCCACCAAAGAAUAAAUAACUCCUUAAGGUCCACAAAAAGACAGUGAAAUGGCUGGCAGAAGCAGCCGUCAUCAAUAAUUCACAAACGUAGUCUACUUGCCUACGGGUUUUUUCACAAACAAGGAUCUCUCCCUCCCUCCCUAGCAUACUCUCUCCCCUGUCCUCUCUUCACCACCAUUUCUUGCUUUACUUCCAUUUCCUACUUGCUUCUUUUUGCUAAUUAAGAUCCCCAAUUUAAAUUCCCCGCAAAAAGAAAACAAAAAAAAGCUAUGGCUGAGGCAGUUACUUCUGCACUUGUUAGCACCGUCUUGAGGAAGUUGAACACACUUGUGCAUGAAGAGCUUGGACUUGUUUUUGGCAUCCAGACCGAGUUUGAGAAACUCAAGCGCACCUUCAUGACGGUUCAAGCUGUCCUCAAGGAUGCUGAGGAGAAGCAGUGGAAAGAUGAGGCCAUCAGGAUUUGGCUGACAGACCUCAAAGAUGCUGCCUAUGAUGCUGAUGAUGUGCUGGAUGAGUUCGCUAUUGAAGCUCAGAGGCGCAGACAGCGAAGGGGUCUUAAAAACCGAGCAAGGUCUUUCUUUACUCUUGAUCAGAAUCCACUUGUUUUUCGAUUGAAAAUGGCUCAUAAGGUAAAGAAUGUAAGAGAAAAGCUUGAUGACGUAGCCAAUGAGAAAAAUAAGUUCAUACUAACAGAGGGAGUUGGAGAGAACGAAGCUGAUAGGUUCGAUUGGCGGAUAACUAGGUCGCUUGUUAACGAAUCAGAAAUCUAUUGAAGAGACAAGGAAAAAGAAGAGCUGAUCAGUUUGUUGCUCGCCAAUUCAGAUGACCUCUCUGUCUGUGCAUUUUGUGGCAUGGGGGGGCUGGGGAAGACAACACUUGCUCAAUUAGUCUACAACGAUGCAAGUGUAAAAGGGCAUUUUGAUUUGAAUAUCUGGGUUUGCGUAUCUGUUGAUUUCGACAUAAGGAGGCUAUCAAGAGCCAUCAUAGAGUCCAUUGAAGGCAACCCUUGUGCCAUUCAAGAGCUGGACACUUUGCAACGACGCCUCCAAGAAAAGUUGAUUGGAAGGAGGUUUUUGCUUGUGUUGGAUGAUGUUUGGGAUCAUUACCAUGAAAAAUGGAAUGCAUUGAAAGAUGCUUUGAGAGGAUGUGCUAUUAUAAUAACAACUCGUCUCAAGCAGGUUGCUGAUAAAAUGGCUACUAUUCCUGUUCACCUAAUGGGAAGAUUGUCGGAAGAUGAUUCUUGGCUUCUGUUUGAGCGUCUUGCAUUUGGAAUGAGAAGAAGGGAGGAGUAUGUGCACUUAGAAAGUAUUGGAAAGGCGAUAGUCGAUAAAUGCAGUGGCGUUCCUUUAGCUCUAAAGUCACUGGGGAGCUUGAUGCGCUUGAAGAGAAAUGAACAACAGUGGUCAUCUGUCAAAGAAAGUGAGAUUUGGAAUCUACCAGACGAAGGUGGCACAAUUUUACCUGCCUUGAAGUUAAGUUAUAACAAUUUGCCACCACAUUUGAAACAAUGCUUUGGAUUUUGCUGUAUGUUUCCGAAAGAUUAUGUCAUGAAGAAAGACCAGUUAGUAAAGCUAUGGAUGGCCAACGGAUUUAUUGAUCCUGAAGGGCAAAUGGAUUUGCAUGAGACGGGAUACGAGAUUUUUGAUGACUUAGUUGGGAGAUCAUUUUUUCAGGAGGUCAAGGAGGAUAGCUUCGGAAACAUAACUUGCAAAAUGCAUGAUCUUGUCUAUGAUCUCGCAAAAUCAGUUAUGACAGGAGAAUGCUGUUUGAUCGAGAAGAAUAGGAGACCUAGAAUUCCAAAGACAGUUCGUCACAUAACUUUUCUUGAUAGAAGUCUUUGUUAUUAUGACAAGGACCCUGUCAAAGGGAAAUCAUUGCGGUCGCUGAUUUCCUUUCAGGACGAUUACUACCCGAGUGACUCGAUUGGUGCUCUUUUUUUAAACAUGUCUGCACAAAAGAAACUACGGACGUUGAAUUUAAGCAAUUUCUGGUUUAGAAAAUUGCCAGAGCCGAUUGGUAAUUUGCAACAUCUAAGGUAUCUAGACGUCUCUUUCUCUUUGAUCCAAAAACUACCUGAAUCAAUCAGCUCUCUUCAAAACUUGCAGAACCUAAAUUUGAGUAACUGCUUUCGGCUUUAUACGUUACCAAAAAGGAUGGAGGACAUGAAAAGUCUCAUGUAUCUUGACCUCACACGUUGUGAUGCGCUUCAAUGUAUGCCUUCCGGGAUGGGACAACUGACUUGUCUGCGAAAGCUUGGUAUGUUCAUUGUGGGUAAAGAGGCUGGUCAUCACAUAGGGGAGCUGCAAAGACUGAAUUACAUUGGGGGUGAAUUGAGCAUCAAGGAUCUAGGUAACGUCCAAGGUGUCACAGAUGCACAAAAUGCUAAUUUGAUGAGGAAGACAAAUCUUCAAUCACUGAGUUUGUCUUGGCGAGAAGACAACAGCAGCAAAAUCAGUGAGGCAAUCAGUGAAGAUGUUCUUUGUGCUCUUGAACCCCAUUCUAAUAUGAAGAAGUUAGAGAUAAGCGGAUAUCGAGGAUCCAAAUUUCCAGAUUGGAUGAUGGAGUUGCGUCUACCAAACCUAGUGGAGAUCUCACUAGAAUCGUGCAUGAAUUGUGAACAUCUUCCUCCUUUUGGGAAACUGCGGUUUCUUAAGCAUCUUCAAUUGAAGAGAAUGGACACUGUGAAGUGUAUUGGCAGUGAGAUGUAUGGAGAUGGAGAGAAUCCAUUUCCAUCAUUAAAGAGGCUGACUUUGGGUCAAAUGAUGAACUUAGAGGAGUGGGAAACAAAUACCAUGGGUGGAAGUGAAAUUUUCAGAUGCCUUCAUGAAUUACAGAUCGGAAAAUGCCCCAAGCUAGUUGAAUUACCAAUUAUACCGUCGGUCAAAGAUUUAACUAUUGGAGACUGCAGUGUAACUUUGCUGAGGUCAGUUGUGAAUUUCACUUCUAUGACCUCCCUUCAAAUUGAGGGCUUCGAUGAAUUGACAGUUCUUCCUGAUGGAAUGUUGCAAAACCAUACGUGUCUUCAAUCCUUGACAUUUCAGGGGAUGGGAAGCCUGAGGUCGCUGUCAAAUCAGCUAAAUAACCUAUCUUCUCUAAAGAGGUUGGGUUUUGUGGGUUGUGAUAAACUUGAAAGCUUGCCAGAAGGUGUCCAGAACCUCAAUUCCUUGGAGAUGUUAUUUAUUUAUGGAAUGCCAAAAAUCACUACACUGCCUGGUUUACCUUCGUCUCUUGCUAGCUUGGACAUUUUAGAUUGUCAAGAACUUACCUCUAUAUCCGAGGGACUGCAACAUCUGACAGCUCUCAAGGACUUUCAUCUUGCUGGAUGUCUAAAGUUAAAUUCCUUGCCAGAGAGUAUGACAGCACUCAAGGACUUGUAUCUUCAUGGAUGUGUGAAGUUAAAUUCCUUGCCAGAUCAGAUACGGCAUUUCACAUCCCUUUCAAGAUUGAUUAUUAGUGGAUGCUCUAAUUUGAUGUCUUUGCUAAAAGGGAUAAGGAAUCUCGAAAUGCUCAGAGAGUUGGAAAUUGCAGAUUGUCCAAAUUUGGAGAGACGGUGCAAGAAAGAAAAAGGAAAGGACUGGCCUAAGAUAGCUCACAUCCCUACCAUCAUCAUUAAUGACCAGCUAAUACAGUCCUCGGAGACCUGAAGAAAAUAUGAUUGCUUGGUACGAGCUGGGACCUCAUUUGGCUAAUAUCCUCAUGUGAAAUCUGGAAUAUUUAUUCACCAAGUACUAAUAGCUGUGGUGAUCAAAUAAAAUGUAAAUUGUAAUAAGAUUAAGAUUUCAGGGAUGGUAACAAGUUUUAGAUGAAUAAGCCGGAGAUGAGGAAUUCUAUUUCUCUUUAGUGUUGUUUUGU